GACGAACGCUGGCGGCGUGCUUAACACAUGCAAGUCGAACGGAAAGGCCCUGCUUUUGUGGGGUGCUCGAGUGGCGAACGGGUGAGUAACACGUGAGUAACCUGCCCUUGACUUUGGGAUAACUUCAGGAAACUGGGGCUAAUACCGGAUAGGAGCUCCUGCUGCAUGGUGGGGGUUGGAAAGUUUCGGCGGUUGGGGAUGGACUCGCGGCUUAUCAGCUUGUUGGUGGGGUAGUGGCUUACCAAGGCUUUGACGGGUAGCCGGCCUGAGAGGGUGAGCGGCCACAUUAGGACUGAGAUACGGCCCAGACUCCUACGGGAGGCAACAGUGGAGAAUAGUGCACAAUGGGAGGAAGCCUGAUGCAGCAACGCCGCGUGCGGGAUGACGGCCUUCGGGUUGUAAACCGCUUUCGCCUGUGACGAAGCGUGAGUGACGGUAAUGGGUAAAGAAGCACCGGCUAACUACGUG
RNAcentral lists this ribosomal RNA (468 nucleotides) under uncultured bacterium. RNAcentral's name for it is "partial 16S ribosomal RNA". It matches the Rfam family "Bacterial small subunit ribosomal RNA", at positions 28 to 507 of the family's 1533-position model. The record is from RNAcentral.